UUUGCCAGCCUUUAGUGGUUUUGUCUGAUGCAGGUGGAGGUCAGUCCUCAAACAAAGACCUGAAUGGACCUUUCCGUAGAUCUGAGGAGCUCUGUCUCUCUCUGUGCAGCUUCCUCUCUUCUGGUCCUCUGAGCCACAAAUCCUAGCUACCAUAGCCUCCCUGAACUCUGAUCUCUGUCUUCUCUACGCAGCAAGACUGCCAGAUUCUGUGUGGGUUUUGCCUCCCUGUGCUACAGCCUAGAAACUGCCUUCAGGAAGUAAGAGAAACUGCCGUCACUUCUAAGAAGAGAAGAAAAUUUGGGGACUAGCAAAGAAAUAGAUAAAAUUCUUUUGAAGAUAUGUAAAGACUUGGGACUUCCCUAUCCUGUGUGUCCUCUAGCCCACCCAGACUUCGGGAUGACUUUAUUUUGUGCCAGGAGCCUCAAAGAUGGAAGCAGCCUGGGCGUCUCUCAACCCCUGAAGGUGCUGUGUGCUCAGCCUCACCCUCCUGCGGAUCAUCUCCUCAGGUUGCAUUUCCUGCUUUGCCUACCUUCUGUCUCACAUCGUAGCUGCUCAUGAAGCUGUUUUAUCCGUCUUACAAGAUUGUGUGCUUGAUCCCCAAUGGCCACCCCCAUUGUAAAUUUUAGUGCCUGGAUCAAAUCCUCAGGCACUCUACUGUUUUCAUUCCUCAACUGAGAAAAGAUGCUUAACUACACCUAUUCUUUAUUUUCUCCUUGUUAAAUCAUUAGUUUGUUGCACCUGCCUCCAAAGUGACCCUCAAAGCCCUUCCUUAUGCAGAAGGAAAGAAUACCCAGAAUGCCUUGGUAGAGUCUUGUACAGCUUACAGAGGUGGUGGGCUGAUAAAAGUUUAACAACUGGUUCUGGGGUGGGGAGCAGUGAGGGGAUUCCUAGUGUUUACUGGUCCUAGAUGUCACUGACUGCAGAAUUGAGAAGAGAUGCACACAAUUGGCUCUGGCUAGCUGAUCAGGCUUUAGAAGGUUCUGGUACACCUGUGGCUUACAGUUCAGGGAUGGUGAAAAAUGCUAUUCUGUAAGGAAUGGGUAAACAGCUGAAUCCUUCCUCCCUCUCACAAGCCUGUGUUACAUAUUUACAAUGCUAUCUCCCUUUCCAGGUUUGCCUCCUUCCAGGCCUCUUCAACUAACUGCACCAGAAUGUGACAAACCCUGAGUCAUGGAUAAUGAGUCAUAAAAAUGGCUCCACUCUGAAGUUUCUUAAAGGAUCACUAACAUGAGGGCAGUUUGAAACUCUCAGAUUGGGUACUGGGUGCAGGUUGACUUUGGGGUUAUGCUCAUUAAGCCCCAAAUUAAUGUUUUCCAAGCAUUUGCUCAACUUCCUACUUUGCAUGCACACGCACACACACACCCCUACACACACACUAACUUCUUAGGCACAUGCUGAAGCAUCUGUGACUCAGCAAUUUUUAUCAAAGAGAGGAUACUGCGCAAUUCCCCCUCCCCCCUGCCCCUGCCUCCCCCCUGCCAUCUCCUUUCCCCCAGUUCCAUAUGGCAGAAUGAGCAGACUUCAAACUUCUUUAAUCAGGGAUUUUGUUUUACGCUUUCUGUGUUCCAACAUGAUGUUUUGUUCACAAGAGAUAGCUGACAAAAUAUUUGUUAUGUUAAAUAAAUGAACUCUGAUUUCUUAUAGUAUAUAAGAAAUACUCCUCACCUCCCACCCCCAACAGGUACUCAUAAAUGGUCAUUAAACCUUGCAUGAACAAGUUUAAGUCAUUUCUGAUCCUAACUUUUGUCCUCAGAAGAACUGGUUUUCUUCCCUUAGACAAUAAAUGUUGACAAUAGAGGUAUCUGGUCUUCUCUGCCCCUUCCUUGUUGUGACAAGCAUGUGUUCACGCAUCCCACUCCCUCAACCAAGCUCUUCCCCAAAUUACCAGAGUCCUAGAAGCCUUAGUCAGUUAUGACCCAAAUCUUAGGUUUAGCCAUGCUGGUUUCUGACACUCGAGGAGUGGGAAAAAUAUGAAUCUUAAUAAAUCCACUGAAAUGAUGAUGAUAAAAAACACAGACAAUAGCAAGCAUUAGCUAGGAUACGAAGAAAUUGGAACUCUCAUGCAUCGUUGGUGGGAACCACUUCGGAAAACAGUUUGUCAUUUUCUUAAAAAGUUAAACAUAAACUUACCUUAUGACCCAGCAAUUACACUGUUAGGUAUCUACCCUAGAGAAAUGGAAAUAUAAGCCCUUACAAAGACAUGCACGUGAAUGAUCAUAGCAACUUUAUUCAUAAUUGCCCCGAAUUGGGAACAAUUCAAAUGUAUAUCAGCUAGUGAAAUGAAAAAACAAAAUAUGUUAUAUGCAUACAGUGGAGUACUUGCACCAAUAAAAGGCAAAGAAGUACCAAUAAAUGCUGCAAUGUUGAAGAGCCUCAAAAACAUUAUGCUAAGUGCAAGAUGCCAGACAGAAGACCAUAUACUUAUGGUAUGAUUCUGUUUAUAUGAAAUGUCCGAAAAGACAAAUUUUAAAAAGACAAAGAGCAAAUUAGUGCUAAUUUGGGGUCAAGGGCAGGAACAAGGAUAAACUACAAAUGGGCAUGAGGAACAUUUUGGAUCGAUGGAAAUGUUUGCAUAACUGUCAAUUUACAAAAAAAAUCAUUAAAUUAAACUCUUAAAAUGGUUGAAUUUUGUGGUAUGUAAAUUAUAGCUCAACAA
Long non-coding RNA from Choloepus didactylus (southern two-toed sloth), 2656 nucleotides. RefSeq lists it as uncharacterized. Lineage: Eukaryota; Metazoa; Chordata; Mammalia; Pilosa; Megalonychidae. The record is from RefSeq and is a predicted model, not a curated record. The transcript is spliced from 3 exons.